RNAcentral lists this non-coding RNA (41 nucleotides) under uncultured Mamiellales. The record is from RNAcentral. Lineage: Eukaryota; Viridiplantae; Chlorophyta; Mamiellophyceae; Mamiellales.
UCUUGUCUUUUUUUUUUUUUUUUUUUUUUUUUUUUUUUGUC